ACCUGGGUGGCUCAGUUGGUUGAGCAUCUGACUUCGGCUCAGGUCAUGAUCUCACAGUUUGUGAGUUUGAGCCCCACAUCAGGCU
RNAcentral lists this transfer RNA (85 nucleotides) under Felis catus (domestic cat). It matches the Rfam family "tRNA". Rfam says of the family: Transfer RNA (tRNA) molecules are approximately 80 nucleotides in length. Their secondary structure includes four short double-helical elements and three loops (D, anti-codon, and T loops). RNAcentral also lists the same sequence under 1 other name. Lineage: Eukaryota; Metazoa; Chordata; Mammalia; Carnivora; Felidae. The record is from Rfam by way of RNAcentral.